RNAcentral lists this long non-coding RNA (262 nucleotides) under Lathyrus oleraceus (garden pea). RNAcentral describes it as "Pisum sativum (pea) long non-coding RNA (PSAT_LNC012463)". The record is from RNAcentral. Lineage: Eukaryota; Viridiplantae; Streptophyta; Magnoliopsida; Fabales; Fabaceae.
AUUUUGGGUCGGUCGAAUGAGGGGUUUGACGGUGGUUGUGGGGUUUCGGUUUGAUGAUUUAGAGUUGAGAGAAAGAUGUUUGAGAGAGGCGAUGGAAGAGGACGGUGGUUAAGGGCUUUGGAGGUGACGGCGAAACGCGAAUCAGAGGGGGUUUGUGAGAAGCCGAAAGGGGUUAACGCAUGUGGUGAUUUUGGACGGUGGAUUCGCAAGGGUUUGUUGGUGGUGAAGAAGCGGAGGUUUGAGCGGCGGCGAGCUUCACGGU